Molecule: ribosomal RNA, 484 nt
Filed under: uncultured bacterium
Lineage: Bacteria
Description: partial 16S ribosomal RNA
Rfam family: Bacterial small subunit ribosomal RNA
Source: RNAcentral
AUUGAACGCUGGCGGCAUGCUUUACACAUGCCAGUCGAACGGCAGCGCGGGCUUCGGCCUGGCGGCGAGUGGCGAACGGGUGAGUAAUACAUCGGAACGUGCCCAGUAGUGGGGGAUAGCUCGGCGAAAGCCGGAUUAAUACCGCAUACGACCUGAGGGUGAAAGCGGGGGAUCUUCGGACCUCGCGCUAUUGGAGCGGCCGAUGGCAGAUUAGCUAGUUGGUGGGGUAAAGGCCUACCAAGGCGACGAUCUGUAGCUGGUCUGAGAGGACGACCAGCCACACUGGGACUGAGACACGGCCCAGACUCCUACGGGAGGCAGCAGUGGGGAAUUUUGGACAAUGGGCGAAAGCCUGAUCCAGCGAUGCCGCGUGUGUGAUGAAGGCCUUCGGGUUGUAAAGCACUUUUGGCGGGAACGAAAAGGACUGUGCCAAUACCACGGUUCGAUGACGGUACCCGCAAAAUAAGCACCGGCUAACUACGUG